This 228-nucleotide non-coding RNA is filed under the name Clostridium sp. RNAcentral describes it as "T-box sequence". It matches the Rfam family "T-box leader". From Rfam's summary of the family: Uncharged tRNA acts as the effector for transcription antitermination of genes in the T-box leader family. T-boxes are found upstream of many aminoacyl-tRNA synthetase genes and some amino acid biosynthetic genes usually in Gram-positive bacteria. The anticodon of a specific tRNA base pairs to a specifier sequence within the T-box motif, and the NCCA acceptor tail of the tRNA base pairs to a conserved bulge in the T-box antiterminator hairpin. Lineage: Bacteria; Bacillati; Bacillota; Clostridia; Eubacteriales; Clostridiaceae. The record is from RNAcentral.
AAUAACGCGAAGAAAAAGGAAAGUACCCGUUUUUCCCCGGACAGAGAGAGCGUGCCAUGGGCUGGAAGCAUGCUUGCGGAUGGAUUUCGGAGAAGUUCCCUUUGGAGCGGCGCUGCUGAACCUAUUGUAAGUAGGCGGCGACGGAAGGCACCGUUACAGGCCGCAAAAGUGUUUGAGGAUUCAAAAAUCAGGGUGGUACCGCGGAGGAGUUUUGCCUUCGUCCCUUUU